Molecule: transfer RNA, 69 nt
Filed under: Lates calcarifer (barramundi perch)
Lineage: Eukaryota; Metazoa; Chordata; Actinopteri; Centropomidae
Description: tRNA-Arg
Rfam family: tRNA
About the family: Transfer RNA (tRNA) molecules are approximately 80 nucleotides in length. Their secondary structure includes four short double-helical elements and three loops (D, anti-codon, and T loops). Further hydrogen bonds mediate the characteristic L-shaped molecular structure. tRNAs have two regions of fundamental functional importance: the anti-codon, which is responsible for specific mRNA codon recognition, and the 3' end, to which the tRNAs corresponding amino acid is attached (by aminoacyl-tRNA synthetases). tRNAs cope with the degeneracy of the genetic code in two manners: having more than one tRNA (with a specific anti-codon) for a particular amino acid; and 'wobble' base-pairing, i.e. permitting non-standard base-pairing at the 3rd anti-codon position.
Source: RNAcentral
AGAUAAUUAGUCUAAAAAAGACAUUUGAUUUCGGCUCAAAAGCUUGUGGUUAGAGCCCACAAUUGUCCU